UCGUCCACCUGCUGGGGGCAGAUGAAAUGGAUAUGGGCGUCGAUCCCGCCCGCGGUCAGGAUGCGGCCUUCGCCCGCGAUGAUCUCCGUACCCGGCCCGAUGGGAAUGGUGACGCCGGGCUGGACGUCCGGGUUGCCCGCCUUGCCGAUCGCAGCGAUCAGGCCGUCGCGGAUCGCCACGUCGCCCUUCACGAUACCCCAAUGAUCCAGGAUCAGCGCAUUGGUGAUGACGGUGUCGGGCGCGCCGUCCGCCCGGCUCAUCUGGCUUUGCCCCAUGCCGUCGCGG
Molecule: small RNA, 285 nt
Filed under: Sphingobium cupriresistens LL01
Lineage: Bacteria; Pseudomonadati; Pseudomonadota; Alphaproteobacteria; Sphingomonadales; Sphingobiaceae
Description: Sphingobium czechense LL01 5' ureB small RNA
Rfam family: 5' ureB small RNA
Source: Rfam by way of RNAcentral